RNAcentral lists this ribosomal RNA (468 nucleotides) under uncultured bacterium. RNAcentral describes it as "bacterial SSU rRNA". It matches the Rfam family "Bacterial small subunit ribosomal RNA", at positions 28 to 507 of the family's 1533-position model. The record is from RNAcentral.
GACGAACGCUGGCGGCGUGCUUAACACAUGCAAGUCGAGCGGGGAUACAAGGGAGCUUGCUCCUGAGUAUUCUAGCGGCGGACGGGUGAGUAACGCGUGAGCAACCUUUCUCUCAGUGGGGAAUAACACAGGGAAACUUGUACUAAUACCGCAUGAGACCACAGAGCCGCAUGGCUUAGGGGUCAAAGAUUUAUUGCUGAGAGGUGGGCUCGCGUCCGAUUAGGUAGUUGGUGAGGUAACGGCCCACCAAGCCGACGAUCGGUAGCCGACCUGAGAGGGUGAUCGGCCACAUUGGGACUGAGACACGGCCCAAACUCCUACGGGAGGCAGCAGUGGGGAAUAUUGCACAAUGGGCGAAAGCCUGAUGCAGCGACGCCGCGUGAGCGAAGAAGUAUUUCGGUAUGUAAAGCUCUAUCAGCAGGGAAGAAAAUGACGGUACCUGACUAAGAAGCACCGGCUAAAUACGUG